This 263-nucleotide long non-coding RNA is filed under the name Nicotiana benthamiana. RNAcentral describes it as "long non-coding RNA (NBEN_LNC020020)". The record is from RNAcentral. Lineage: Eukaryota; Viridiplantae; Streptophyta; Magnoliopsida; Solanales; Solanaceae.
UCUAGGAUCAGGUUGUUGUUGAAUAAAUCAUUGUCUAUUUGCUGUUGGAUUUCCUGCAGCUUGUCUCUUAGUAUCCCAACUUUUUACUCUACUGAGUUAUAGGUUCUAUUCACACCCUUUGCUUUGCUUCCAAGUUUCUACAACUUUUGCCAAACUGAGUACAUUGUGCAUCCAGUAAUUCUCUGCUCCCACACAUCUUGUACCAUCUUUUUAAAUUCUUCCUCCUGCAAAAGAACUGUUAGCAGCGUGAAUGGCUUUGGGAG